GUCUCCGGACAUAUCAGCCUGAAGGCGCUAGAUCUUGUCUGCUCUCAGAAGGUAAGCAGGGUCGGGACUGGUUAGUAUCUUGGAUGGGAGACCACCUGGGAAUCCCGGGUGCUCGAGGCU
Bison bison bison is the source of this 120-nucleotide ribosomal RNA. Lineage: Eukaryota; Metazoa; Chordata; Mammalia; Artiodactyla; Bovidae. The record is from Ensembl.